GUGUAUGUUCCACUGUAUGCGAAAAUAUCUGAUCUUCUAACCAAUAAAUUACCAAGACGAGCAAAAAUGUUUGCACCUAUAUUGUAUUUUGAAAGCUUUUCACAUUAUUUCUAAGCUUUAUUAGCUUUGAGAACCUAAAAUUGAUACCGUGCCGUGUGUUUUUCUUUUGAGAUACGAUAUUUUCGAACAACAAAAUGUCUCACCAAUCCGACUACACUUUUUCGUCACAUGUCAGAAUUCAGGUUAAUGAUUGGUUAGAAGAUCAGAUAUUUUCGCAUACAGUGGAACAUACAUAUUUAAUUCUAAAUAAUCAAUAAAAAGAUUUCCACAAAAAAUUGAGAUACGAGGUUUUUGCAUAACAGCGACGAUAUGUUAUAAAGCA
RNAcentral lists this long non-coding RNA (382 nucleotides) under Mytilus galloprovincialis (Mediterranean mussel). Lineage: Eukaryota; Metazoa; Mollusca; Bivalvia; Mytilida; Mytilidae. The record is from RNAcentral.